This 71-nucleotide transfer RNA is filed under the name Loxodonta africana (African savanna elephant). It matches the Rfam family "tRNA". From Rfam's summary of the family: Transfer RNA (tRNA) molecules are approximately 80 nucleotides in length. Their secondary structure includes four short double-helical elements and three loops (D, anti-codon, and T loops). The record is from Rfam by way of RNAcentral. Lineage: Eukaryota; Metazoa; Chordata; Mammalia; Proboscidea; Elephantidae.
ACAUUGGUGGUUCAGUGGUAGAGUUCCCCCCUUCCAUCAGGAAGACCCAGGUUCAAUUCCUGGCCAAUGUA